RNAcentral lists this ribosomal RNA (262 nucleotides) under uncultured bacterium. RNAcentral's name for it is "partial 16S ribosomal RNA". It matches the Rfam family "Bacterial small subunit ribosomal RNA", at positions 524 to 784 of the family's 1533-position model. The record is from RNAcentral.
UACGGAGGGUGCGAGCGUUGUCCGGAAUCACUGGGCGUAAAGGGCGCGUAGGCGGCGCGGAUAGUCGGCGGUGAAAGCCCGGAGCUCAACUCCGGGUCGGCCGUCGAUACUUCCGGGCUUGAGCACUGUAGAGGCAGAUGGAAUUCCGGGUGUAGCGGUGGAAUGCGUAGAGAUCCGGAAGAACACCGGUGGCGAAGGCGGUCUGCUGGGCAGUUGCUGACGCUGAUGCGCGACAGCGUGGGGAGCAAACGAGGAUUAGAGU